CUAUCAUGCAAGUCGAGCGGCAAGUCGAGGAGUAAUCUGAGACCUAGAGCGGCGUACGGGUGCGUAACGCGUAUGCAACCUACCUCAUACAGGGGGAUAGCCCGGAGAAAUCUGGAUUAAUACCCCAUGGCACAGCACAAGGGCAUCUGCGAGCUGUUAAAGAUUCAUCGGUAUGAGAUGGGCAUGCGUCUGAUUAGCUAGUUGGCGGUGUAACGGACCACCAAGGCGACGAUCAGUAGGGGUUCUGAGAGGAAGGUCCCCCACACUGGCACUGAGAUACGGGCCAGACUCCUACGGGAGGCAGCAGUAGGGAAUAUUGGGCAAUGGACGAGAGUCUGACCCAGCCAUGCCGCGUGCAGGAAGACGGCGUUCUGCGUUGUAAACUGCUUUUAUCUGGGAAGAAAAGGCCCGUGCGCGGGACAUUGCCGGUACCAGAUGAAUAAGCACCGGCUAACUCCGUGCCAGCAGCCGCGGUAAUACGGAGGGUGCAAGCGUUGUCCGGAUUUAUUGGGUUUAAAGGGUGCGUAGGCGGCUGUUUAAGUCAGUGGUGAAAGACAUCGGCUCAACCGAUGCAGUGCCAUUGAUACUGGGCAGCUUGAGUGUUGGAGGGGUACAUGGAAUUGAUGGUGUAGCGGUGAAAUGCAUAGAUACCAUCAGGAACACCGAUAGCGAAGGCAUUGUACUGGCCAACAACUGACGCUGAGGCACGAAAGCAUGGGGAGCGAACAGGAUUAGAUACCCUGGUAGUCCAUGCCGUAAACGAUGAUUACUCGCUGUUAUGCCGUAGGGUGUAGUGGCCAAGCGAAAGCGUUAAGUAAUCCACCUGGGGAGUACGCCGGCAACGGUGAAACUCAAAGGAAUUGACGGGGGUCCGCACAAGCGGUGGAGCAUGUGGNUUUAAUUCGAUGAUACGCGAGGAACCUUACCUGGGCUAGAAUGUGAAGGAAUGAUUUAGAAGAUAGAUCAGUCAGCAAUGACCUGAAACAAGGCGCUGCAUGGCUGUCGUCAGCUCGUGCCCGUGAGGGGUUG
This 1029-nucleotide ribosomal RNA is filed under the name uncultured bacterium. RNAcentral describes it as "bacterial SSU rRNA". It matches the Rfam family "Bacterial small subunit ribosomal RNA", at positions 50 to 1077 of the family's 1533-position model. The record is from RNAcentral.